RNAcentral lists this ribosomal RNA (479 nucleotides) under uncultured bacterium. Its description in RNAcentral is "partial 16S ribosomal RNA". It matches the Rfam family "Bacterial small subunit ribosomal RNA", at positions 28 to 523 of the family's 1533-position model. The record is from RNAcentral.
GACGAACGCUGGCGGCGUGCUUAACACAUGCAAGUCGAACGGUAAGGCCCUUCGGGGUACACGAGUGGCGAACGGGUGAGUAACACGUGGGUGAUCUGCCCUGCACUUCGGGAUAAGCCUGGGAAACUGGGUCUAAUACCGGAUAGGACCCUGGGAUGCAUGUCCUGGGGUGGAAAGCUUUUGCGGUGUGGGGAGGGGCCCGCGGCCUAUCAGCUUGUUGGUGGGGUGAUGCCCUACCAAGGCGACGACGGGUAGCCGGCCUGAGAGGGUGACCGGCCACAGUGGGACUGGGAUACGGCCCAGACUCCUACGGGAGGCAGCAGUGGGGAAUAUUGCACAAUGGGCGCAAGCCUGAUGCAGCGACGCCGCGUGAGGGAUGACGGCCUUCGGGUUGUAAACCUCUUUCAGCACCGACGAAGCGCAAGUGACGGUAGGUGCAGAAGAAGGACCGGCCAACUACGUGCCAGCCGCCGCCGUAA